GGACGGCAGCGGGGGGGCAACUCCCUGCGAGAGUGGCGAACGGGUGAGUAAGACGUGGGUGAUCUGUCCCGGUCACGGGGAUAGCCUGUGGAAACAUGGGGUAAUACCGGAUAAGCUCUGCGGGGUAAAGGCCGCGGAGGAAAGGCGCGUAUGCGCCGGAGAGGGAUGAGCCUGCGGUCCAUUAGCUUGUUGGCAGGGUAAGAGCCUACCAAGGCGACGAUGGAUAGCCGGCCUGAGAGGGUGAACGGCCACACUGGGACUGAGAUACGGCCCAGACUCCUACGGGAGGCAGCAGCUAAGAAUCUUCCGCAAUGGGCGAAAGCCUGACGGAGCGACGCCGCGUGGACGAAGAAGGCCGAAAGGUUGUAAAGUUCUUUUCUUUGCGAAGAAUAAGGGGAGGAGGGAAUGCCUUUCUGAUGACGUUAGCGAAGGAAUAAGCCCCGGCUAAUUACGUGCCAGCAGCCGCGGUAAUACGUAAGGGGCGAGCGUUGUUCGGAAUUAUUGGGUGUAAAGGGCGCGCAGGCGGCUCUGAAAGUCCGGUGUGAAAGGCCGCAGCUUAACUGCGGUUGUGCGCUGGAAACUACAGGGCUUGAGUGCAGGAGGGGGAGCUGGAAUUCCAGGUGUAGGGGUGAAAUCUGUAGAUAUCUGGAAGAACACCGGUGGCGAAGGCGAGC
RNAcentral lists this ribosomal RNA (674 nucleotides) under uncultured spirochete. Its description in RNAcentral is "bacterial SSU rRNA". It matches the Rfam family "Bacterial small subunit ribosomal RNA", at positions 64 to 726 of the family's 1533-position model. The record is from RNAcentral. Lineage: Bacteria; Pseudomonadati; Spirochaetota; Spirochaetia; Spirochaetales.